Molecule: non-coding RNA, 131 nt
Filed under: Platyophrya macrostoma
Lineage: Eukaryota; Ciliophora; Colpodea; Cyrtolophosidida; Platyophryidae
Source: RNAcentral
GAGAGUAAAAAAUAAACAAGGAAACCACAAUUUGUACUUCACGAUAGCUCUCUUUUCUUCAAAAAAUAUCCACCAUGCAAAGAUGUUUUGUGCCUCAGUCCAUUUUUUCUUUUCCCUUUUUUUGUUCUUUU